GAUGAACGCUGGCGGCGUGCCUAAUACAUGCAAGUCGAGCGAACAGACGAGAGUGCCUGCACUCUCUGACGUUAGCGGCGGACGGGUGAGUAACACGUGGGUAACCUACCUAUAAGACUGGGAUAACUUCGGGAAACCGGAGCUAAUACCGGAUAAUAUUUAGCUUCGCAUGACGCAAUAGUGAAAGACGGUUCUGCUGUCACUUAUAGAUGGACCCGCGGUGUAUUAGCUCGUUGGUGAGGUAACGGCUCACCAAGGCAACGAUACAUAGCCGACCUGAGAGCGUGAUCGGGCACACUGGGACUGAGACACGGCCCAGACUCCUACGGGAGGCAGCAGUAGGGAAUCUUCCGCAAUGGACGAAAGGCUGACCGAGCAAUGCCGCGUGAGUGCAGAAGGUUUUCGGCUCGUAAAACUAUGUUGUAAGGGAAGAACAAGUACGUUAGUAACUGAACGUACCUUGACGGUACCUUACCAGAAAGCCACGGCUAACUACGUG
RNAcentral lists this ribosomal RNA (499 nucleotides) under uncultured bacterium. RNAcentral describes it as "partial 16S ribosomal RNA". It matches the Rfam family "Bacterial small subunit ribosomal RNA", at positions 28 to 507 of the family's 1533-position model. The record is from RNAcentral.